This 398-nucleotide ribosomal RNA is filed under the name uncultured bacterium. RNAcentral's name for it is "bacterial SSU rRNA". It matches the Rfam family "Bacterial small subunit ribosomal RNA", at positions 358 to 770 of the family's 1533-position model. The record is from RNAcentral.
GGAAUAUUGCACAAUGGGGGAAACCCUGAUGCAGCAACGCCGCGUGAGUGAAGAAGUCAUUCGUGAUGUAAAGCUCUAUCAGCAGGGAAGAAAGAAAUGACGGUACCUGAGUAAGAAGCCCCGGCUAACUACGUGCCAGCAGCCGCGGUAAUACGUAGGGGGCAAGCGUUAUCCGGAAUUACUGGGUGUAAAGGGAGCGUAGACGGUAAUGCAAGUCUGGAGUGAAAUGCAGGGGCUCAACCCCUGAACUGCUUUGGAAACUGUAUGACUGGAGUGCAGGAGAGGUAAGUGGAAUUCCUAGUGUAGCGGUGAAAUGCGUAGAUAUUAGGAGGAACACCAGUGGCGAAGGCGGCUUACUGGACUGUAACUGACGUUGAGGCUCGAAAGCGUGGGGAGCA